GCCUGGGUGGCUCAGUCGGUUGAGCGUCCGACUUCGGCUCAGGUCAUGAUCUCGCGGUUUGUGAGUUCAAACCCCGCGUCGGGCU
This is a non-coding RNA of Felis catus (domestic cat), 85 nucleotides long. Lineage: Eukaryota; Metazoa; Chordata; Mammalia; Carnivora; Felidae. The record is from Rfam.